Long non-coding RNA from Cavia porcellus (domestic guinea pig), 2377 nucleotides. RefSeq lists it as uncharacterized. Lineage: Eukaryota; Metazoa; Chordata; Mammalia; Rodentia; Caviidae. The transcript has 2 exons. The record is from RefSeq and is a predicted model, not a curated record.
UCCCUUCUCCUUUUGGUACAUCCCACUUCCUCUUUCUGUCCUGCCCAGACUACUCUUCUGUAAAGCUUCACGGCUUUAUGCUCCUUACACAAGUUUGAUACCACACAUUUUGGUUUCCAACACACAGCAAUCACAGCAGCAGAACAUAGGACAGCCAAGAGAUCCAUGCCGGGAAGGCCCAAACGUCAGCGGUGGAAGCCAGAAAGUCCAUGCCAGUGGGUGAAGAAGCUUUGCUGGUGGAAUGAGGGUUCUAAGCUGGAGUCAAAAAGCCACACUCAUAACAAAGACCAGGGCUGUCCUGAAAAGCACCACAGCCAUCCUCAGCGACACAGAGGCCCCGAGCUCUUCUGACGACAAGCACAGUUAAGUACAUGCCAGAAAGCCAGCAUGAUGAGUUCAUCCUGGAGAUCAAGUGGCACACGUCUUCCUCUCCAGAGCCAGGAAGCAAUGCCGAUGUGAGGACCAGAGCUCCUCCAGGAGAACCAACAGCUCAGACAGCAACUCGUAGGAGAACCGACAGUGCCUCAAUGCAACAGCUUCUCCUUCUCCAUGUCUCUAUGCUGGCAACUUUCCUCAGGUGAACAUCUAGGCUCAGCACCAUGCUGAUGUAAUCCAGCCAGCGUUAAAUUGACCACCAGUUCUCAAUCCAUAACACCAGGUUUUCUACUAGUAAAACCAGAGCGAACCCUGGAAGUAAACUGUUUUACUUUUUCUUUUUUUUUCUCUUUCUCUUUGAUGGUUUUUGUAUGAAUGUGAAAGUGAUUCCUAACCUCUUGGUGAGUGUGGUUCUUUUCUGUUCUUCCUUUUAUCUCUUCCAUCUCUCUUUUCCUUCAGUCUUCUGCACCAGUUUCCCAAAGUUGGCAUGAUCUCCCUUUGUCCUCCAACCUUGCUUCUAAUCUCUUCUUCUUCUUCUUCUUCUUCUUCUUCUUCUUCUUCUUCUUCUUCUUCUUCUUCUUCUCUUUUCUUCUUCUUCUUUUUCUUCUUUUUCUUCUUUUUCUUCUUUUUCUUCUUUUUCUUCUUCUUCUUUUUCUUCUUCUUUUUCUUCUUUUUCUUCUUUUUCUUCUUCUUCUUCUUCUUCUUCUUCUUCUUCUUCUUCCUCUUCCUCUUCCUCUUCCUCUUCUUUUACUUCUCUAUUUUCUCCUUAAUCCAUUUUAAAUGUUAACUCCAUAGGGCAAAAUUGACACAUUAAGGACUUAUACAUUGCAUAUAAUUUUGUGAUUUGUUUUACAUUUUGUUAUAUAAUCACAAAUCUAGUUUAUAUAGUUAAAAGUGGCAAAUUAAGGUUUAGGUCACUUUCUCAUUUUCUAGGUACCACUAGGUGCUAUUGGUACCACUAUAGCCAAAAUUGACAUAAUUCUUCUAACAAUGACUGCUCCUGGUAUUCCAUGACUGAGACUGACUAAGGGUCAUAGAAAAUACUGUGGUACAGUGCCAAAAAAAAAAACCAGUGACUAGGCCAAGCAAGCUACAACUUCUCAUCUCCAACAAACUGAGAAGCUAAAACAUUCCAGUAGACUCAAAACCCAAAACCAGCUAUACCUCGAAUAUAUCUCAAAGAAGUAGUGAUCAGACAACAGUCCUAAACACUAGCAAUAAAGCAACCUAUCAUAGCAACAUACUAACAUCACCCCAGGAAUUAAACUGAAAGAAGAAAAGAAAAUGAGAAGACACUUAAGCAAAAUGCAGCCCAACAUCCAGUUCACCAAAGGCAAAUCUAGGGGGCAAUGAGGUGGGACAAUCUGAAAGCCGCCAACAGGCAGUUGGAGUGGUAAACACAAAGCAAUUGAAUGAGGCUCUGGAAAAAAAUAAAUCAGAAAUAAUCUCUCAGAUAAUUAUAGAGAUUGCCAAACUACACACCAUGCUUAGUGACGUUAGAGCAAACAGACAAAAACAAUAAAUGAGCUUAAGAAAAUUAUCAACAUAGGAAAGAAAUGGAAUCCACAAAGCAGAUACCCAAGAGAAUAAAAUCUCCACUGUAAGUAUUUGAAGCAAAUUAGGCCACUGUGAGGACAGGAUCUCAGGUAGGGAAGACAGGCUUGUAGUUAGCAACCAGGAAAAGAAAGGUGUGUGUGUGUGUGUGUGUGUGUGUGUGUGUGUGUGUCUUUUUGAUACAGGGUCUCAUUAUGCAGUUAGGUUGGGCUUGGGCUCACUUUAUAGCCCAGGCUGGUCUUAAACUUGCAACAGUCUUCCUGACUCAGCCUUCCAAGUUCUGGGAAUACAGGAGUGUGCCACUAUGCCCGGAUUAAGAAAGAUUUCUCAAAAAUAGAAAGGGACUAUGAGAAAUCGAUCCAGCAGCUGCUAGACAAGACAAGAAUAAUUUAAGAUUGAUUGGAGUCAAUGAAAAAGCAGGAGAUACAAUAAAUGACAUUAAAAAGUU